AGCGAACGCUGGCGGCAGGCCUAACACAUGCAAGUCGAACGAACUCUUCGGAGUUAGUGGCGGACGGGGGAGUAACACGUGGGAACGUGGAGUUAGGCACGGAAUACUACAGGGAAACUUGUGCUAAUACAGAAUGUGUCAUGCGGGGGCCAGAUUUAUCGCACUUAGAGCGGCCGGCGUCUGUCUGGCUUGUUGGGGAGGGAACGGCCGAUGACGGCGACGAUCAGUAGCUGGUCUGAGAGAAAGACCAGCCACACUGAGACUGAGUCGCGGCGCAGACUCCUACAGGAGGCAGCAGAGGGUAAUCUUGCGCAAUGGGGGAGAGGCUGACGCAGCCAGGCCGCUAGAAUGAUGUAGGUCUUAGGGUAGUAAAACUCUUUCACCCGGCACGAUAAUGACGGUACCCGAAGAAGAAGCCCCGGCUAACUUCGUG
This 433-nucleotide ribosomal RNA is filed under the name uncultured bacterium. Its description in RNAcentral is "partial 16S ribosomal RNA". It matches the Rfam family "Bacterial small subunit ribosomal RNA", at positions 29 to 507 of the family's 1533-position model. The record is from RNAcentral.